Molecule: long non-coding RNA, 717 nt
Filed under: Homo sapiens (human)
Lineage: Eukaryota; Metazoa; Chordata; Mammalia; Primates; Hominidae
Description: non-protein coding GABPB1-AS1:11
Source: RNAcentral
GGAGUUUGGAAACUAAUGUUCCUGUGCUAACCUUCGUGUCUCUGUGACAUGACUGUUGAAAGACGGAGAGUGCGGAAUCUUUGGAGUUUUAAGCUUGCCAACUGUGCGGCCUAGCAGAAUCCUGGGAGACGGAAGGACAGCCAAGAGGCUAGGAUUUACCUUUAAGUGUCCCUAGAUUCAACUAGGCAGACUGGGACGGGAGACGCUGUGAAGGUACCAGGGAAGGAACGAGUGAGGUUCCUUUUCCACUUUUUCAUAAACUCAACAGUCAGGUUCAUGACGAAGAUAUAGAUAUUUCUGUAGAUUUUUUCCCCAACAUUCUAAUUAUGCCUCAUGUUUCGUAGAUCCUAGUAACUGCUUGGAUUACUGCCACCUCAGAGGGGCGUCUGGGCAUGGCUUUCCCAACCUAGUAACUGCAACUUUUAGCAUCCUACAUGUAGGACUUGGGAAUAUGUGAGACAGCGCCAAGAAUUUAAUCCAGGAGAAUUGACAAGCUUAAAUGAAAUCCAUAUUGCCCACUGAUUUUGUGCAGCUUCAGAUAAGUAAUCUUUCUCCACUUAGCCUUUUGUAACAAUUGAUGUAAUAAAGGUUUGUAGUCUUUGUGUAAUUUAUUAAAGCAUUGUGCCUAAAAUAGAAAAAAAGCAUAGGAACCAUAGGCUGUGUUUUCUUUUGAUUUAAUAUUUUCAUUUCUUCAGUUAAUAGAAAUUUGCCAAAUUC